AUCCUUCUGUAGUUCAUCAGCAUCAUGCCUGGGUUUUCACGUUCCUGUGUGAGAUGUGCCUCCCUCAAACCUUGUUAUGGCAUCGGCACAUUACCAAUCUGAUG
Molecule: small nucleolar RNA, 104 nt
Filed under: Callithrix jacchus (white-tufted-ear marmoset)
Lineage: Eukaryota; Metazoa; Chordata; Mammalia; Primates; Cebidae
Description: Small nucleolar RNA U13 (ENSCJAG00000078748.1)
Rfam family: Small nucleolar RNA U13
Source: Rfam by way of RNAcentral